AUCUAGUUGACGAGUCCCAAAUCGGACGAAGUGUCGCGCGUCCUGGAU
Non-coding RNA from Schistosoma mansoni, 48 nucleotides. The record is from Rfam. Lineage: Eukaryota; Metazoa; Platyhelminthes; Trematoda; Strigeidida; Schistosomatidae.